UGGACAAUGUCUCAAGUGAACAUUGAUACUCAGUCAUCAUUAAGUCAUAAAAUAACUCCUUAUCAAUGAUGAACCUUGAUUUGUGAUUGGACACAACUGUUGUUUUUAUUUUCAGAAUCCAGAAUCUCCAACACAGUCAAGUUGUUACUCCUCUGGAUAACCCAUUGUACCUCCACUGCACCUAACUAAACACUUGGGAUUGAAGUCAUCUGCUCCCCCCAAAUCCAUCAAAGCAGAAAAUAACCUGUCAGUCCAUCAUGAGAGUGGUUCAACUGACGACAGUAUGGAAUCACCAUAUGACGAGAGAUUGAAAAAACUGAAAAAGGAAUUUGAGGAAAGUGUUGAAGUAUUCAGACACCUCCUUGAUGAACAUUUGAAGGACCUUCAGGCAAAAGUGAAAGAGCUUCGUCAGAUAGCUGACAGUUAUGAGAAUUGGUACCGUGCCACUACUAGAGGUAGUCUGGCAGGGGGUGUUAUGGGGGCAGCUGGAGGGAUCACUACUUUAGUAGGCCUUGGCCUGGCUCCAUUCACUUUAGGCACCUCCAUGGUUGUUGCCGGGGCGGGUAUGGUGAUGGGUGUAACUGGUGGGAUUACUGGCGCUGCUUCUACCAUCACCAGCAUGGUGAGUCAACGAAGCGACCGACAGAACAUUCAGAACAUUCAGAAACAUUUUCUGGAAAAAGUCAAACCAAUUGAGGAAAGCUUGAGUAAAAUCAACUGGAAAGUUGAAGAAUUAAAGGCAAUGGCCAAUGAUGCAGCUAAAACAGGGUUUGGAAUUUGUAAAAUAGCAGGUAAUCUGGCUUUUUUAGAUGACUUUGCAAAUAUUGCCAAACUAAGUGCCUCAUCUGCUAAAUCUGUCCGUGUAGCAGCAUCAUUGACAGCGGUGCUCUCUGGCCUACUCCUAGUUCUUGACAUAAUCUCUAUUGUCAAGGAUGCCAAGGAACUUUAUGCAAUGGAAAAUGGAAACCAAAUUCAGUCAGACACACUGAGCUUUAUUCGGACAAUCAGGGACAUGGCUGAACAGUAUGAGCAGACACUAAAAACGUUUGAACAGACAAAGGAAGAACUUCUUCGAAAAAAAUGUUGAUUAAGAAAAUACAUAUAUUUAAAUUAAAAUAAUCUGAUUAUAUUGCUUGAAAGGGGUCUGAUUUUACAGUUGAAGUAGGAAGUUUACAUACACCUUAGCCAACUACAUUUAAACUCUGUUUUUCACAAUUCCUAACAAUUAAUCCUAGUAAAAAUUCCCUGUCUUAGGUCAGUUAGGAUCACCACUUAAUUUUAAGAAUGUGAAGUGUCAGAAUAGUAGUAGAGAAUGAUUUAUUUCACCUUUUAUUUCUUUCAUCACAUUCCCAGUGGGUCAGCAGUUCACAUACACUCAAUUAGUAUUUCGGUAGCAUUGCCUUUAAAUUGUU
RNA transcript from Salmo salar (Atlantic salmon), 1412 nucleotides. RefSeq lists it as uncharacterized. The record is from RefSeq and is a predicted model, not a curated record. NCBI's taxonomy places the organism in Eukaryota, Metazoa, Chordata, Actinopteri, Salmoniformes, Salmonidae.